This 64-nucleotide ribosomal RNA is filed under the name Plasmodium falciparum 3D7. Its description in RNAcentral is "Plasmodium falciparum rRNA LSUF". Lineage: Eukaryota; Apicomplexa; Aconoidasida; Haemosporida; Plasmodiidae. The record is from RNAcentral.
UAAACAUAUAACGGUAAGAAGGUUCGCCGGGGAUAACAGGUUAUAGUAUAUAUAGAGCUCUAAU